RNAcentral lists this ribosomal RNA (253 nucleotides) under uncultured bacterium. RNAcentral's name for it is "partial 16S ribosomal RNA". It matches the Rfam family "Bacterial small subunit ribosomal RNA", at positions 524 to 776 of the family's 1533-position model. The record is from RNAcentral.
CACGUAGGGCGCAAGCGUUGUCCGGAAUUAUUGGGCGUAAAGAGCUCGUAGGCGGUCUGUUGCGUCCGCUGUGAAAACUCGGGGCUUAACCCCGAGCCUGCAGUGGAUACGGGCAGACUAGAGGUAGGUAGGGGAGAAUGGAAUUCCCGGUGUAGCGGUGAAAUGCGCAGAUAUCGGGAGGAACACCGGUGGCGAAGGCGGUUCUCUGGGCAGUUACUGACGCUGAGGAGCGAAAGCAUGGGGAGCGAACAGG